This 497-nucleotide ribosomal RNA is filed under the name uncultured bacterium. Its description in RNAcentral is "partial 16S ribosomal RNA". It matches the Rfam family "Bacterial small subunit ribosomal RNA", at positions 28 to 507 of the family's 1533-position model. The record is from RNAcentral.
GAUGAACGCUGGCGGCGUGCCUAAUACAUGCAAGUCGAGCGAACAGAUAAGGAGCUUGCUCCUUUGACGUUAGCGGCGGACGGGUGAGUAACACGUGGGUAACCUACCUAUAAGACUGGAAUAACUCCGGGAAACCGGGGCUAAUGCCGGAUAACAUUUAGAACCGCAUGGUUCUAAGGUGAAAGAUGGUUUUACUAUCACUUAUAGAUGGACCCGCGCCGUAUUAGCUAGUUGGUAAGGUAACGGCUUACCAAGGCAACGAUACGUAGCCGACCUGAGAGGGUGAUCGGCCACACUGGAACUGAGACACGGUCCAGACUCCUACGGGAGGCAGCAGUAGGGAAUCUUCCGCAAUGGGCGAAAGCCUGACGGAGCAACGCCGCGUGAGUGAUGAAGGUCUUCGGAUCGUAAAACUCUGUUAUUAGGGAAGAACGAAUGUGUAAGUAACUGUGCACGUCUUGACGGUACCUAAUCAGAAAGCCACGGCUAACUACGUG